Molecule: long non-coding RNA, 4970 nt
Organism: Danio aesculapii
Lineage: Eukaryota; Metazoa; Chordata; Actinopteri; Cypriniformes; Danionidae
Exons: 2
Source: RefSeq, a predicted model, not a curated record
UACAAUUGGCAGAAAUGAAGAGAUUAGGGGUGGGGAAUUCGAGCUCCGCUGUUCGUCGCUGGGCCCCUAAAUUGCCAGGGCCCUAUGCACUCUGUCCCCCUUUUCUCACCAAUAGUGACAAGUAUCGCUGUAGCCAGGAGACCUCCAAGUGGGAAGGGAUUACAUAGCAAGUAGGUUGGGUGACCUCCAAGUGGGAGAGACUUAAACCACAAGUAGGUUGGGUUUAAGUGGUGUAGGUGGAGUAGACAGUAAUAAAACACAACAUGUUACUAUGAAAUUGGGUUUAGAGUAGGUGUAGAUGGUAAUAAAACACAUCAGGUUACUGUGAGGUUAGGUUUAGAGUAGACGUAGAUGGUAAUAAAACACAACAGGUUACUGUGAGAUUGGGUUUAGUGUAGGUUUAAACGGUAAUAAAACACAACAGGUUACUGUGAGGUUAUGUUUAGAGUAGGUUCAGACCGUAAUAAAACACAACAGGUUACUGUGAGAUUGGGUUUAGAGUAGGUUUAGAUGGUAAUAAAACACAACAGGUUACUGUGAGGUUAGGUUUACAGUAGAUGUAAAUGGUAAUAAAACACAACAGGUUACUGUGAGAUUGGGUUUAGAGUAGGUUUAGAUGGUAAUAAAACACAACAGGUUACUGUGAGAUUGGGUUUAGAGUAGGUUUAGACGGUAAUAAAACACAACAGGUUACUGUGAGGUUGGGUUUAGAGUAGGUUCAGACGGUAAUAAAACACAACAGGUUACUGUGAGGUUAGGUUUAGAGUAGGUUCAGACGGUAAUAAAACACAACAGGUUACUGUGAGGUUAGGUUUAGAGUAGAUGUAAAUGGUAAUAAAACACAACAGGUUACUGUGAGGUUAGGUUUAGAGUAGAUGUAAAUGGUAAUAAAACACAACAGGUUACUGUGAGAUUGGGUUUAGAGUAGGUUUAGACUGUAAUAAAACACAACAGGUUACUGUGAGGUUGGGUUUAGAGUAGGUUUAGAUGUUAAUAAAACACAACAGGUUACUGUGAGAUUGGGUUUAGAGUAGGUUCAGACGGUAAUAAAACACAUCAGGUUACUGUGAGGUUAGGUUUAGAGUAGAUGUAAAUGGUAAUAAAACACAACAGGUUACUGUGAGAUUGGGUUUAGAGUAGGUUUAGAUGGUAAUAAAACACAACAGGUUACUGUGAGAUUGGGUUUAGAGUAGGUUUAGAUGGUAAUAAAACACAACAGGUUACUGUGAGGUUAGGUUUACAGUAGAUGUAAAUGGUAAUAAAACACAACAGGUUACUGUGAGAUUGGGUUUAGAGUAGGUUUAGAUGGUAAUAAAACACAACAGGUUACUGUGAGAUUGGGUUUAGAGUAGGUUUAGACGGUAAUAAAACACAACAGGUUACUGUGAGGUUGGGUUUAGAGUAGGUUCAGACGGUAAUAAAACACAACAGGUUACUGUGAGGUUAGGUUUAGAGUAGAUGUAAAUGGUAAUAAAACACAACAGGUUACUGUGAGAUUGGGUUUAGAGUAGGUUCAGACGGUAAUAAAACACAACAGGUUACUGUGAGGUUGGGUUUAGAGUAGGUUCAGACGGUAAUAAAACACAACAGGUUACUGUGAGGUUGGGUUUAGAGUAGGUUCAGACGGUAAUAAAACACAACAGGUUACUGUGAGGUUAGGUUUAGAGUAGAUGUAAAUGGUAAUAAAACACAACAGGUUACUGUGAGAUUGGGUUUAGAGUAGGUUUAGACUGUAAUAAAACACAACAGGUUACUGUGAGGUUGGGUUUAGAGUAGGUUUAGAUGUUAAUAAAACACAACAGGUUACUGUGAGGUUGGGUUUAGAGUAGGUUUAGAUGUUAAUAAAACACAACAGGUUACUGUGAGGUUGGGUUUAGAGUAGGUUCAGACGGUAAUAAAACACAACAGGUUACUGUGAGGUUAGGUUUAGAGUAGAUGUAAAUGGUAAUAAAACACAACAGGUUACUGUGAGAUUGGGUUUAGAGUAGGUUUAGACUGUAAUAAAACACAACAGGUUACUGUGAGGUUGGGUUUAGAGUAGGUUUAGAUGGUAAUACAACACAACAGGUUACUGUGAGGUUAGGUUUACAGUAGAUGUAAAUGGUAAUAAAACACAACAGGUUACUGUGAGAUUGGGUUUAGAGUAGGUUUAGAUGGUAAUAAAACACAACAGGUUACUGUGAGAUUGGGUUUAGAGUAGGUUUAGACGGUAAUAAAACACAACAGGUUACUGUGAGGUUGGGUUUAGAGUAGGUUCAGACGGUAAUAAAACACAACAGGUUACUGUGAGGUUAGGUUUAGAGUAGAUGUAAAUGGUAAUAAAACACAACAGGUUACUGUGAGAUUGGGUUUAGAGUAGGUUCAGACAGUAAUAAAACACAACAGGUUACUGUGAGGUUGGGUUUAGAGUAGGUUCAGACAGUAAUAAAACACAACAGGUUACUGUGAGGUUGGGUUUAGAGUAGGUUCAGACGGUAAUAAAACACAACAGGUUACUGUGAGGUUGGGUUUAGAGUAGGUUUAGAUGUUAAUAAAACACAACAGGUUACUGUGAGGUUGGGUUUAGAGUAGGUUCAGACGGUAAUAAAACACAUCAGGUUACUGUGAGGUUAGGUUUAGAGUAGGUUCAGACGGUAAUAAAACACAACAGGUUACUGUGAGGUUAGGUUUAGAGUAGGUUCAGACGGUAAUAAAACACAUCAGGUUACUGUGAGGUUGGGUUUAGAGUAGGUUCAGACAGUAAUAAAACACAACAGGUUACUGUGAGGUUGGGUUUAGAGUAGGUUCAGACGGUAAUAAAACACAACAGGUUACUGUGAGGUUGGGUUUAGAGUAGGUUCAGACGGUAAUAAAACACAACAGGUUACUGUGAGGUUGGGUUUAGAGUAGGUUUAGAUGUUAAUAAAACACAACAGGUUACUGUGAGGUUGGGUUUAGAGUAGGUUCAGACGGUAAUAAAACACAACAGGUUACUGUGAGGUUAGGUUUAGAGUAGAUGUAAAUGGUAAUAAAACACAACAGGUUACUGUGAGAUUGGGUUUAGAGUAGGUUUAGACUGUAAUAAAACACAACAGGUUACUGUGAGGUUGGGUUUAGAGUAGGUUUAGAUGUUAAUAAAACACAACAGGUUACUGUGAGGUUGGGUUUAGAGUAGGUUCAGACGGUAAUAAAACACAUCAGGUUACUGUGAGGUUAGGUUUAGAGUAGGUUCAGACGGUAAUAAAACACAUCAGGUUACUGUGAGGUUAGGUUUAGAGUAGGUUCAGACGGUAAUAAAACACAACAGGUUACUGUGAGGUUAGGUUUAGAGUAGAUGUAAAUGGUAAUAAAACACAACAGGUUACUGUGAGAUUGGGUUUAGUGUAGGUUCAGACGGUAAUAAAACACAACAGAUUACUGUGAGGUUGGGUUUAGAGUAGGUUCAGACGAUAAUAAAACACAACAGGUUACUGUGAGGUUGGGUUUAGAGUAGGUUCAGACGGUAAUAAAACACAACAGGUUACUGUGAGGUUAGGUUUAGAGUAGGUUUAGAAGGUAAUAAAACACAACAGGUUACUGUGAGGUUAGGUUUAGUGUAGGUGUAGACAUUCAUAAAGCACAAUAUUGGACAGAUUAGUACAGCCCACUUGGAGCUGACUCCAACUUCCAUUAAUACACUUCUCGAAAUGUCAGGCUCUGCCGUUUUAAUUUCUGUCUGUUUCUGCAUUCUCUUAUUGUGUGCAGGAUUCAACGUGACUACGAUCAUUUUAAUUCAGCAAUUUAUUUUAUAAAAGCCAAUUAACUAAACUAAAAAGUAUCUCAAAUAUUAUUACUUAAUUUAAUGAAGUAAUGCGUUACUUUACUCGUUACUUAGAACUAGUAAGUACUAUUAUUACGUAACUCACGUUACUUGUAAUGCGUUACCCCCAACACUGGUUUUACUGUAUAUUUGAUUAAAUAAAUGCAGCCUUAGCCUUAAUUUAAAAAAAAAUCUUCCAAACUUUAAAUAUAUAUAGUCUAUAUAAAUAUAUUCAUAAAUAUAUAUACACAGACUCAUGUUUGUGUAAGUCUAAAUAUAGCCAUUUUGACUAGCUGAAAAUUGAACCCAGCCUCUCUGCUUCAUAAAUGUUUCUUUUCUAUGGGCAGUUGUGUGGUUUUGCACUAUAUGUUUUCUAUUAUAAUGGCAUCGACGUCAUUUUCUGAUUCACAUUUUUGUAGUCGCUCUUUACUUUGGACAUUACAUUUCUUUUAUGAAGGACCAAAACAAGACCGAUGUGACGUGUAAAUGUGGUGGCUCACACUCUCAGAUUUGUCCUCAUCGCCAGUUCAGUGAUAUACAAAUAUAUUUAUACAUCGGAAAUAUAUAUAAAUACAUAGAAAUAUAUAUAUAUAUCAUUUGGGUUUGAUUUGAGAUAUUUGCGAAUGAGCGUUUUUAUUGUGUUAUUUGAAUUGAAAGGGGUGUGGUUAUGUGUAUAUUCUCACUGAAAUAUUCAUGAACCAAUUGUGACGAGCGAUCUGAUUGGUCGAGAGAAAGACGACCCCGUAAUGAUUGGUCGUCUCUGUGUACUGUUGAUUUCUCUUGCACAAAGAGCAGCAUGAUAUCGUGUUUACAUCCAUCUGCGUUAUUUUAUUUGGUCUUUUUAUUUAAUUAUCUUUUGUAGUCCUGCUGGUGAGAUGUUUGCUAAUGGAACAAAUCGCAAGUAUUUACUCUAUCGGAUUAUGAACAUGAUUUAUUUUUUGUUCAAUAGCAUUGUUAUUUUCGUUCGGAUUUAACAUCACUGUAAGAAAACAUGCAGUCCUGAAAAUGGUCAGUUUUUGGGGGGGAUGAUUGUCUGUGCUGUUUUUUCUCAACAUAGCUGACUUAUUGUACAGUUUUAUUAAUCAAACUUUCACAUGAAUGUUUGUCUUAAUCUGCUGCCACCCGACAGUUUAGGAAACAUGUUUAUAGACAUAACUGUGCAAUGGAGAAAACAAUAAAUGUAACAGAACGA